UGGGGUGUGGCUCAGUGGCAGAGUGCUUGCCUAUAAUGUUAGAGGCCCCAGGGUUUGAGCUCCAGCACUGCAA
Molecule: transfer RNA, 73 nt
Filed under: Marmota monax (woodchuck)
Lineage: Eukaryota; Metazoa; Chordata; Mammalia; Rodentia; Sciuridae
Description: tRNA.Tyr
Source: RNAcentral